Molecule: ribosomal RNA, 250 nt
Filed under: uncultured bacterium
Lineage: Bacteria
Description: partial 16S ribosomal RNA
Rfam family: Bacterial small subunit ribosomal RNA
Source: RNAcentral
AUUAACGCUAGCGGCAGGCAUAAUACAUGCAAGUUGAACGGCAGCACAGGUAGCAAUACUGGGUGGCGAGUGGCGCACGGGUGCGUAACACGUAUGCAACCUACCCUAUACAGGCGAAUAACCUUUAGAAAUGAGGGCUAAUACGCCGUAGUAUUACAGAUGGGCAUCUAUUUGUAAUUAAAGAUUUAUCGGUAUAGGAUGGGCAUGCGUCCCAUUAGUUAGUUGGUAAGGUAACGGCUUACCAAGACGA